RNAcentral lists this long non-coding RNA (1232 nucleotides) under Cyanistes caeruleus (blue tit). RNAcentral's name for it is "lncRNA (ENSCCEG00000001820.1)". Lineage: Eukaryota; Metazoa; Chordata; Aves; Passeriformes; Paridae. The record is from RNAcentral.
GUUUGAAUUGAAUUGUUUGAAUUGAAUUUUUUAUUGAAUUAUUUUAAUUGAAUUGUUUUUAUUGAAUUUUUUAUUGAAUUAUUUUAAUUGAAUUGUUUGAAUUGAAUUGUUUGAAUUGAAUUUUUUAUUGAAUUAUUUUAAUAGAAUUGUUUGAAUUGAAUUGUUUUUAUUGAAUUAUUUUAAUUGAAUUUGAAUUGAAUUGUUUAAUUGUUUUAACCCUUCCCUCCCCAGAUUACAGCCAGACGGCGACGCAGAGCUACGGCGCCUACCCCGCCCCCCCCAGCCAGAGCUACUCGCAGGGUGGGGGGCAGGGCUACUCCCAGCAGAGCUACGGCGGCUACGGCCAGGGCUCGGACACGGGCUACGGCCAGGGCGGCUACAGCGGCUCCUACGGCCAGAGCCAGAGCGGUUAUUCGGCGCCGGCGGCUCCUCCCUCCUACGGCUCCGGCGGCUUCGGCUCCGCCCAGAGCUCCCAGGGCAGCUACGGCCAGAGCUCAUCUUACCCUGGGUAUUCCCAGCCCCCUGCGGCUCCAUCCGCCUCAGCCAGUUACGGCAGCGGCUCCGGCAGCUCCAGCUACGGCCAAGCCCCGAGCGGGGGCUACAACCAACAGAGCGGGGGCUACAGCCAGCAGAGCUACGGGCAACAGUCGUCCUACAACCCUCCCCCGAGCUACAGCCAGCAGGGCCAGUACAGCUCCGGCGGCUCCGGAAGUUACUCCCAGGAUUCCUCGCUGAGCUCCGGGGGGUUCCAGGAGCCGGGCGGGAAUUUCGGAUCCUCGGAGCGCGGGCGCGGCCGCGGCGCCUUCGGCUCCCGGGGCGGCUUCGAGCGCGGGCGCGGCCGCGGCAACCGCGGGAACAUGGGCGGUGGUGAGCGUGGUGGCUUCAAUAAAUUUGGUGGUAAGUCCCAAAAAAAAAAACAAAAAUUUGAGGUUUUGACCCCUCCAAAAAGCGAAAAAAAAGGAAAAAAUUUGGAUUUUUUUCUAUUUUUUAUUUUUUUGUAAAAAGCGAAAAAAAAGGAAAAAAUUUGGAUUUUUUUCUAUUUUUUAUUUUUUUGUAAUUUUGUUUUUUUUUUCCCCCGUUUUUCCUGGAACAAAAAAGGAGUUUUAGGUGGAAAAAGGUGAUAAAAAAGCGAUUUUUUUGGGGAAAAAACGGUGAUGAAAAAGAGGUUUUUUGGGAAAAAAGGUGGAAAAAAAAGUUGGUUUUUGGGAAAAAAAAGGUGGUUUUUAGUUAAA